RNAcentral lists this long non-coding RNA (5996 nucleotides) under Solanum tuberosum (potato). RNAcentral describes it as "long non-coding RNA (STUB_LNC005557)". Lineage: Eukaryota; Viridiplantae; Streptophyta; Magnoliopsida; Solanales; Solanaceae. The record is from RNAcentral.
AAAGAUUUAUCAAGUUGUAAGUUAUCUCUAUUCACUAUCUUUUUAAUUAUCUAAUGAUGUUUAUUGGUUUAUGUUUUUGAUCUUAUCCUUAUAUGCAUUGAUUUUUAGGUUGUAGAGUCAUGUUUGAAUGAACUGAUUUUGCAAAUGAUUCGAAUAGUUUCUUAAACAUUUCGAAUGAAAAAAUAUUGAUAUGCAUCCUCCGAUUCAGAUAUACUUAUACUGUUUGAUUUAAUUUUUGUCAAAUAAAUUGAUUUGUAUUAAAGUGAAGUUAGAUCUUUCAAAUUUAGUUAGAUCCAAGAAAGAUUCUUUAAUCUAAAAGAAUAUUUAAUUUAUUAUUGAAUAAUAGAGAUAAGAUCUAGUCUUUUUCCGAUUUACAAAGAGGUCUUGGGUAAAAUAAUUUUCUCAAUUUAAGGUAUGUCUAUUUGGUAAAACAUUUUUUCAAAUAAUCUAUAUCUUAAGAAAUAUUAGGAGGUAAUAUCACACUAUGUAUAACCAAUAGACUAAAUAAAUUUCUCAAUAUAGAACUAUAUUUUUUGAACUUAUAAAUGAAUAUGGAAAUAUGUUCUAAACUUAGAAAUCAUAGAAAUUACUUUAAUGUUUCUUAAAUUAAAAUCCUAGGAAUCCUUUUUUAACUCAUUCCUUGUGAAAAAGUUUUGCAGAAUUAUCAUUUAGAUUUUCUUAAUUCAAUUUUCAAAAGAUUACCUCUUCACUUCUUAAGUAGUGCAACAGUCUUUCCAAUCAUGUGUAACCAUAAAUAAGAUAACACAAAAAAUUAGAUAACCAAAUGAUAUGCAUGUGUUAAUUUAUUCAUAAAGAGGCUGUUAAAUUUUAUGAUAAUGUAAAUACUUUAAAAUAUAUAUAUAUAUAUAUAUAUUAAGAAAGCUUCUGAUACGAACAAACUAUCAACAAUGUUGAAAUUAUUGUUAUAGUCCCUUCAAUUGCCAAUUAUAAAGCUCUGAUUCAUUUUAUGAAAGGACUUUUUAGAAGCCUCCUGAUUAUGAAUAAAUUUGUAAAUAUAUGGCACUUGGGCCUAACUCAACCCCAAAGGCUAGCUCAUGAGGGGAAGAUUGCCCAAGUCCAUAUAAAGAGACCACCUGUCCAUUUCCUAACCAAUGUGGGACUUUUACCCACUCUAACACCCCCUUCACGCCCAGACCCGACUUGAGCAUGGACCGGGAGCUCAAACUGGAUGGACCUGACUCUGAUACCAUGUAAAGAUAUGACACCUGAGCUUAACUCAACCCUAACAACUAGCUCACAAGGAAAGGAUUGUCCAAGUCCAUAUAAGGAGACCAUUAGUCCAUUCCCCAACCUCCCCUUAUAUGGACUUGGACAAUCUUCCUCUUGUGAGCUAGCUUUUGGGGUUGAGUUAGACUCAGGUGUCAUAUCUUUACAUGGUAUCAGAGCCAGGUCCAUCCAGGUUUGGGCGUCCACGCUCCAGUCGGGCCUGGGAGUGAAGGGGGGUGUUAGAGUGGGUAAAAGUCCCACAUUAGUUGGGGAAUUGACUGAUGGUCUCCUUAUAUGGACUUGGGCAAUCCUCCCCUCAUGAGCUAGCUUUUGGGGUUGAGUUAGCUCUACCUUAAAUAAUAUGUAUGUCAUACUUCAAUCACACAGUAUUACCUACUCAUUUGUGUCUUUGAAAUACUUAUUCAUGACAAUAUUCAAGGUGUGGGGUAAAUACAUUAUUUUUUUAUUCAAAGCCCAUAAUUCAAGUUUUUUCUUAUUAUUUUGAUCCAUAAUAAAUUUUUACUAAUCUUAAUCGUAAUACUAAAUAAUGUUAAUCCAUCAUAUAUGUACCAUACAAAUACACCUUGGAGUGCAUUAGUUGCAAAGGGUCGAGCAUAUGUAUGUGUUUGCAUUAGACACGUUCAAGUCAAUAAGGUCAAUGCUCUCUCUCUCUCUCUCUCACACACACACACACUCACUCACUCACUUUAGAAUCUCAAUCACGCAGGCUUAGAAAAUCUAGAAUAAUGUUAUCGCGCUUAAGAAUUUAUUCAUUUAAAUACCGCAAUUGCAUUGAAAGACAAUUAAGAAAAAUUAUGAUCAAUGAAUAUUUUUAAAUUAACUUUUGCUACAUUUGGAAAAGGCUAAUUGAGAUCGUGGGGAGUUGACCUUAUUAACUUAGGGCUUACACAUUCAUGUAAGAAUUCUUCAACUCUCUAUGAUGAUUAUACUUGAAUUUAAACCACAGAAUCAUGAGAUUUGAAUGCCUAAAUUGAUAGGAGUAAUUUUUAGUUGUUAAAAUAUAAAACUAGGGAUUUGACCUAGAAAAUGAAAUAAUAAGUUAAAUUUGAUUAUAGAAAUGGAAUCGUGAGUCAAAAAUUUAAAAUUGCUCUCCACUACCCAGCAGACGAAACCCUAAUUUUGUCUACUUUUUUCAUGGCCUUCGGCCAGUUGAGGUUGGCCAGUCGCAAAGGAUAUUGGAGGAGAAGAAAAUGACAUACACAAACACUCUCGCAGCACCAAAACCACAACAUUAUAACAUCCAAAUUAAGCCUUUAACAAAUUUGCAUGGGGAACCAAAAAUAGUAUGGGAAGAGGAAGAGGUACAACAAAUGAUCAUUAAUUAGGACCUACAAUACGCAGUGAUUGGAAAUUGUUUUUAUGGAUGGCCUGACAUUCUAGAUCUAUGGAAAUUGCUACCAAAACAAUGUGAUCUAAAAGGGGAAGUGAACAUAGGGCUUUUAAGUAGUCGAUACGUCUUAAUAAGGGCAUCACUGCAAGAGGAUUACGUGAAAUUGUUAUCAAAACCUCAAUUUUACAUCACUCAUAAUCAUUGGUCUUAUCCAAUGAGAACCCUGAAGUGCGACACUUUAUUUGAUCCGGAGGAGGAAACGACUGUUGACACCCAAUUUUGGACCUCCACAAUAUAUAUUAAUCACGAGCUUUUUAAAAUUCCAAACAAUUUGAAAUAAUUGACUUCAUAAAGUUUAAGAUAUUCUUCAAGUUAUUUUAAAUAGUUUUGUCACUUUUUAUAAUUUUUAAAUAAUAUAUAUGUUUUAAAUAAUUAUGUACAUAAUUAGUAUAUUUUAUGAAUAUUCGAAAAUUGUCUAAAAAAAUAGAUUUUAAUUUUAGUUAAAUAUUUUAUCAAUUAGUUUGGUUUAAGUAAUAGUUUAUGUUUUAAAAUUAAUUAGUUUAUAAUUAAGUGAAUUAUUUUAUUUCGUUAAGCUUAAGAAACUCGUUAAUUAAUUAAUAUUAAUUUGUUGUAUUUAAUCUUUAGUCGGAUUCACUAAUUGAGUCAAAUUAGCUAAAUUUUAAAGUUAAGUGGACUAAGUUUGCAAUUCAUUUGGUUAUUUUUCUAAUACAAAUAUAGCCACCUUUUGUCCACUUCUUGGAAUAAUUUUCAAGAGGAAAGUUGACCCAAAGCAAAUUUCCAGCCCAUUCCAUACGUUGCCCAGCCCAACUCCACCUCUUUUCCCAGGCCUAAUUUUUCCCCACAAUACCAAAGAAACUCAUUCCAAAACAUUACCCAUAAACAAACCCGUGUUUCCCAGACAAUACAUACAACAACAACCCACCAACAAUACCAAAUAGCAUACCCGACCCCGACCCCUGUACAACAUUUUCUUCUCCAGUGUUAACUCCAGCAGCUCACAAACGACGCGAACAACGACUCCAAACGACAUCAAUUUUCCGUCAAAGUUCACAAAAAUUACAUGACGUGAACAAGCCAAUGCAGUACACUGCAAUUCGUUGUUGUCUUUUUUUCCCCCUCUCCAGCAGUACGAUCUCAGCAAAAAAAAGCAAAUCGCGUCUCGUCCUUGGGCUGUGAGAUCAUGCCACAAAGCACGCCAAGGACAAUCAAUCGAUCCGAGGCAUCCAUUUCUCCUUUCCUCUUUCGGAUUGGUCUGAAGUUUCAGAAAAAAGUUGCCUCCCAUUAAUGGUGAAAGAAUUUCGAGUUUGAAUUUUGGAAAUGAGCCUCAUCCUAUCCGAAUUCUCACUUUUCCCCUAAAAAGUUUGUAACCCUAAUUUUUGCUUAUAAAUACUCUCUUCCUCUUGUUUGUUAAAGGUUGGAGAAUAUCAGAAAGAUAUAGGAGGGAAAGGCAUAAUAUAACAUUGAUAUAUAAAAAUUCAUCAGAAGGUUCUCUGUGUGGUUUCUUAGUGAUCAGCGUAGAAGUUUUUCGAGUCCAAAUUUCCAUCUCGGGUUCCCUGUGCUCUGUUUGGAAUCUCUCGAAGUCAGUGGAAGUUGCUCUCUAGCUCGUCACUGUCUCCAUUUCGCUGCACCGAAAAAGGUAACAUUUCUUCUCUUGCGGCGUUCUCCUCGUCUUCCCCUCCAUCUCAAUGCGCUGUUGUAUGAUGCUAUAAAAAAUCCUUAUUCUUUGGUUGUUCGCUAUUAGUUGUUGUUGGACUGGUGAUUGUUUUAAUAUGACACUUGCAUUCUUAGCCGUUUUAUGGCAUAGUGUCGAGUUAAAAUUUUGGAGAUUUGUUGGGUUUCUUUGCUGAAGUUGUGUGUGUUAUUUUGUUGUUGUCAACCAUCAUUAAGUUGUUUAUUCAGGUUAAUGCAGUGUUUGUUCUGCGUCAGUUUUCUUUGUUUGAAAUUAGCCUAUAUCUUACCAAGUUUUGCUUGUAUGUCAUUUUGGUUUGAGCCCUGAAGCAUGCUAAAAAAAAAUGAUUUUAAUGCAUAUAUCUAAGUCGUUUCGAUAUAAUGGUCUUGGUUGUUUCACCCUUUCCUUUCUAUUCGUCUUCUCACUAGCUAGAGCAAAUUUUUGGCUUAUCUCAACCCCGUUUGGCUUAAUCGUUGAUGUUUAAAUGGGUUACCGCCUGUGAGUUGAUUCAGUCUGGGUUUCAAAUCUCUUGCUUUAUUUGAAAAGAUUUUAGUCUCGUUAGAAGUGGGUUUAAGGUCAUUUACCUAUUAUUCUUGGUCAUAUUCCUUGCCUUGUUUCUUUAAAUUAAGUAGGUGAUUUUAAUUUUGGUUAGCUUUCUAGGAAGAAUUCUCCAGUAUGUGCCUUUGUUGCAAGCAUGCUUUAAUUACAUCCAAGUAUGGAUUUAUUCUUAGAAUUGUCUUUGUCUGCUUGCUCUCUGUACCGAUCUUUUUAAUGUUAAAAUGAGUUAUUUUCUUUUCGUAGCAGCAUAUGAGAUUUGCCUUUCUUGUGUUACCUUUUAGUUUGAUUUUUCUCAUAGUGAGGAUUAAUAACAUAUAUUAUUUUGGGAAGAUAUUACCUCCAAAUUGGAUUAUUUGUUUUAUCUGCUAGUGGAUUUUUGUUUCCUUUAGGUCUUGCUUGUCUUUAAAUAUUAAAGUUUUAUCAAAUAAUAGUCUUCCAGUAACCCAUUUAUGAUUAGGAAAAGUUUAGUCAAUUGAUUUUGGAUUUAAUAGCUUGGUUUUUUGUUUUAAAUACGUGUAGUAAGGUAUUGAUUUUGGCGGGUCCACUGCUAUGCCAUCAGUGGGGUUUGUUGCUUUAUUGAGUUUUAUCACUGAGUUUCUUUGUUAUGAAUGUGUAUUGAUCCUUUUCUUUUCCUCCUGUCACUGAGUUUCUUUGUUAUGAAUGUGUAUUAAUCCUUUUCUUUUCCUCCUGUCUCAUGUGCUUUCGAGUGAGUUCAUUGAACUCCAUUGCCUUCCUCUCAUUUCAUUCCAAAUGGGCCAUGGAGGCCCAAUUGCAUUUCCUCGAGUCAUAUUUAAACUCAAGCCCCAAUGGACUGCAGCGUACAGGUUCAGGAAAGUUGGUACACAGGAAUGAUGCAGAAAUACGAACCCAAAACACGGUCCGUAUAUGGGGGUAUACGUAAAACGUAUACACAAUUUUUCUUAAGGAGAUAGGCCCAAAAGCCUUGAACAAUUUCAGUAGGUCCAAAGGAGCUAAUGAGCCGACCCAUGUUUGCUUGCAAAGUUAUAGACUUAGGACAGGUGGGCCAAAAGGCCAAUUUAAUUGGGUUUGCGCCAAAAGUCCGAGUCUAAAUAUUUAUUUUCUCUCUAUUAUUAUUUAUAUUGUAUUGUUUGACUAACUUUGUUUAUUUUAUGAUUUAAUUUAAUUAAAUUCCCAAAGAUAUCCAUUUCA